RNAcentral lists this transfer RNA (74 nucleotides) under Dorea sp. 5-2. RNAcentral's name for it is "tRNA-Arg". It matches the Rfam family "tRNA". Rfam says of the family: Transfer RNA (tRNA) molecules are approximately 80 nucleotides in length. The record is from RNAcentral. RNAcentral also lists the same sequence under 8 other names. Lineage: Bacteria; Bacillati; Bacillota; Clostridia; Lachnospirales; Lachnospiraceae.
GUGGGCGUAGCUCAGCUGGAUAGAGCGUCUGGCUACGGACCAGAAGGUCGGGGGUUCGAAUCCUCUCGCCCACG